Molecule: ribosomal RNA, 468 nt
Filed under: uncultured bacterium
Lineage: Bacteria
Description: partial 16S ribosomal RNA
Rfam family: Bacterial small subunit ribosomal RNA
Source: RNAcentral
GACGAACGCUGGCGGCGUGCUUAACACAUGCAAGUCGAACGGAAAGGCCCUGCUUUUGUGGGGUGCUCGAGUGGCGAACGGGUGAGUAACACGUGAGUAACCUGCCCUUGACUUUGGGAUAACUUCAGGAAACUGGGGCUAAUACCGGAUAGGAGCUCCUGCUGCAUGGUGGGGGUUGGAAAGUUUCGGCGGUUGGGGAUGGGCUCGCGGCUUAUCAGCUUGUUGGUGGGGUGGUGGCUUACCAAGGCUUUGACGGGUAGCCGGCCUGAGAGGGUGACCGGCCACAUUGGGACUGAGAUACGGCCCAGACUCCUACGGGAGGCAGCAGUGGGGAAUAUUGCACAAUGGGCGGAAGCCUGAUGCAGCAACGCCGCGUGCGGGAUGACGGCCUUCGGGUUGUAAACCGCUUUCGCCUGUGACGAAGCGUGAGUGACGGUAAUGGGUAAAGAAGCACCGGCUAACUACGUG